GACGAACGCUGGCGGCGUGCUUAACACAUGCAAUUCGAACGGAAAGGCCCUGCUUUUGUGGGGUGCUCGAGUGGCGAACGGGUGAGUAACACGUGAGUAACCUGCCCUUGACUUUGGGAUAACUUCAGGAAACUGGGGCUAAUACCGGAUAGGAGCUCCUGCUUCAUGGUGGGGGUUGGAAAGUUUCGGCGGUUGGGGAGGGACUCGCGGCUUAUCAGCUUGUUGGUGGGGUAGUGGCUUACCAAGGCUUUGACGGGUAGCCGGCCUGAGAGGGUGACCGGCCACAUUGGGACUGAGAUACGGCCCAGACUCCUACGGGAGGCAGCAGUGGGGAAUAUUGCACAAUGGGCGGAAGCCUGAUGCAGCAACGCCGCGUGCGGGAUGACGGCCUUCGGGUUGUAAACCGCUUUCGCCUGUGACGAAGCGUGAGUGACGGUAAUGGGUAAAGAAGCACCGGCUAACUACGUG
This 468-nucleotide ribosomal RNA is filed under the name uncultured bacterium. RNAcentral's name for it is "partial 16S ribosomal RNA". It matches the Rfam family "Bacterial small subunit ribosomal RNA", at positions 28 to 507 of the family's 1533-position model. The record is from RNAcentral.